UGGAGUUGUGGUUCAGUAGGUAGAGCACAUGCCUAGCAUGUAUGAGGCCCUGGGUUUGAUUCUCAGCACUAUAU
This 74-nucleotide transfer RNA is filed under the name Marmota monax (woodchuck). RNAcentral's name for it is "tRNA.Ala". The stretch from base 7 to 68 matches the Rfam family "tRNA", at positions 6 to 65 of the family's 71-position model. Rfam says of the family: Transfer RNA (tRNA) molecules are approximately 80 nucleotides in length. Their secondary structure includes four short double-helical elements and three loops (D, anti-codon, and T loops). The record is from RNAcentral. Lineage: Eukaryota; Metazoa; Chordata; Mammalia; Rodentia; Sciuridae.